RNAcentral lists this long non-coding RNA (1079 nucleotides) under Setaria italica (foxtail millet). RNAcentral describes it as "long non-coding RNA (SITA_LNC007242)". Lineage: Eukaryota; Viridiplantae; Streptophyta; Magnoliopsida; Poales; Poaceae. The record is from RNAcentral.
UUACGUGCACGAAGAAAAUUGAGCAAAUUUCUUGUAUGCCAUUAGAAAUUUAAUCCAUCCCUUACCUGACAUUAAAAUUUAGUCCAUCCCUCCAGUGCUACGGGAAAUUACGUACCAUGCCCAUCAUCCUUAUCCCAUAAAACAUCCGUAACGCCGCUAAACCGUUUCGCUCAUCCACUGUUGUUCCAACUUUACCCUUCCGCGUCCUUUUCCAACAGACCAACACCAUCGACCGCACAUCUUCUUCAUUUCUUUCCCCAAAUCGGCGGGCCUUCUCCAAACCCUAGCCACCGCCGCGGGCCAAUCCAACAGAGUGCGCUCGGCCGGCGGCCCGCUCCGCGGUCUCCCCCUCCUCCAGUCGCGACCCGCACGUGCGCCGCGCGCAGGGGCUCCCGCGGAGGAGGCGCUCGCAGGGCCCCGUCCUCCCGCCCGUCCUCUCCCAUCCUCGCAGGGGCUCUCCGCGCAGGGGCUGGGUCGCUGCCGCCCGCCACUCUCGUCGCCCGGACCCGCCCCCUCCGCCCGUCCCUGGAAUCGGCGGCGCUCCCUGGAAUCGGUGGCUCAGGACCUGCUUGCCUGCAGAGCUGCGCCACUCCCUAGAUAUGGUCUGAGGGAAACCAGCCUGUGUGAUCUGAAUUUCUAGUUGAUUCAGUUCAUUUAGUGUGGCGCUUCCUAUUUUGCUUGGUGCUUUAACAAAACCAAAGCUACUGUUAUUUUGUUGGGCUUAUGUGAACUAUUAGGUGCUGUUACUUUCCCUGUAUGGCUGCUUGUAUGGACAGCAAAGGCUGAUGGCAAUGAUGCUUGUAUGAACAUCAAUGGCUACUUGUAUGGACAAAAAUGAUGCUUGACAUCAAUGUUUGCUUGUAUGGCUGCUUGUCUAUGGAUGCUUAUCAUGUGGAGACGUAUGGACAUCACAACUUGCAAUGAUCAGUAAAUGUGUUUUAAUUUUGUUUGUCUAUGCAUAUGUAUUGGUACAGAUUUGUGUUCUUGCUUGCAAUGGCGUAGAAGGGAUAGUAAGGGAAUGUUUCAUCUUUGCUACUAGGGGUAACAUUGUCUUUUCAGCAGUCACUUAACAUCCAUCU